Long non-coding RNA from Lagopus muta (rock ptarmigan), 2186 nucleotides. RefSeq lists it as uncharacterized. Lineage: Eukaryota; Metazoa; Chordata; Aves; Galliformes; Phasianidae. The transcript is spliced from 4 exons. The record is from RefSeq and is a predicted model, not a curated record.
UCCUGCUUAUAACAGCAGAGAUGAGAAAAUGCAAUCAUUAGGAAAGAAUAAACCUGACCAGCAGGUGGAUCAUGUUUUUCUCUUCUAGAAUAUUUUCCAUUGCUACUAAUGUUAAGCAAUCAAGAGACAUUGAUGGCCAUGGAAGAGACUAUAUUAUAAGAAAAAUGCAGGAUUAAAGAAUGUAAAGGGCUAUUUGUACUAAACAGAUUAAGCUGCUAGUAAACAUGUCCCCUUUAAAUUAAGUGGUGGUGAAGACAAAGGAAGUGCUUUGUUGUUGUCAGCUGGAUUUGUCUUAAGUCAAAUGGGCAAACAACUUAAACAUCAGUCCUCUUUAAAAUCCCUAAUGGCUGUGCAGAUUACAUCUGAAAAGCUUUACAGAACUUUGUUUUCAACCUGCAUUAGCAUACAAAUAUUAAACAAGAAUUUCACUUCUCUCCAGUCUUGUCACUUGUGAUGAAUACAUCCUUGCUUGGAACAGUAAAACAAACAGAAGUUGUGUUUUUCUGACCUGGCACUAAUAAAAUGUGUGGGUGCAGCAUGCGUUUCAGAAUCACAGACUGCUGCCAUCAGCCAUCACCAUGAUGCCCACUCACACAACCCACUGAAAUAUGUCCCUCAGUGCCACAGGUAGAGGAUACCAAGAGCCCACAUAGCCUUGUAUCAGUGUGGAAUGAAUUCAAGAUAAUGCACUGUGAGUUCACCUUCCAUCCUACUGUCUACAGUAGGAAUUCAUGUGGUUUGGUUUCUGUCAGGAAGAGAUUCUGGAUGAACAUAUCACUUACACAUCCCAGCUAGGAGUGUGAAAACUUGCUGGCUCUCAGCUUCAGAAGUACUGGAAACUGGACAAAACUAUAAUUGAGCAUUCACAACUUCCAUGAAUUUCAGUGCUCUUGCAGCUUUGUGAUGAUGGAAAUCAACUGAGUGUUUGCUCCAAUUGGAUUUUCAUUCAGUUUAUUAAUGAUAAAAAAAAAAUGUAACUUCAUGCAUAUUAAAGGAGUGUUGAUUGAAGGUCACAGAGGUGUUAGCUGUGGUGUCCUGGCUAAAUUCCAGUUGGCUAAUUACAAUCUGCCUUCCUAAAACUCCCUUGUAGUUUCAUUAUUUAGUUCAUUGUCUCUUUAUUACUUUGUUCCAAACUCUUAGCAGCACUGUUUUAUUUCUGUUGAAGAACUUUUAUUGUUGAACGUGUUGGUUCAUCAGAAUGCAAAUGAUGAAGCCAACUUUCUGCCUCUCUGAAUAGAGUGUCAAUUGUAUAGGUAAGGAAUGUGAGAAUCAAUACAUCUAUGUGUAGUAAAAAAGCAACUGUUUUAUAAUGUCAUAUUGCAAUAUGUGAUUGUGACUGUUAUAUGCUGUGCUAAAAUCUGAUGGCACUCAUAUGGGAAUGUGUACCUUUUUGCUCUUUUAUUCCAGUUAUCUAUGUCAUUUGAUAUAAUUUCUUUUUUCCCCAAGCUAGUUCAUUUUUGGAAUGUGUGCUCUCUUCUUGGCUGGUGCUUUCUAUCCUUCUGGUGGGCAUUCUUCCAGAUUCUUUUGAGCAAAGCAGGUUGAAUGGGUGGUCUUAUGAGUGGUACAAGCUGUUUUUCUCACCUCUGUGCCUUUUUCCAAAGGCUACCUAUUGUCCCGGGAUCAUGUUCUGAAAAACAUAAGAAUAUAUUCUCUUUGGUGGUGCAGAAUAACACUGCCCUCCACUGCAGCCAGAAAUAUGGUGAGACUUCUCAGAAAGGUGGGUUAUGUACUUGGUUAUAACUCAGACAAUCAUGUUGCAGCUAGCAGAGUUGAUUAAUAAAGUUAGUUGGUGUUUUGCAUCCACAAUAAUUUUCACUUCUAAUAGGGCCGCACAUCAACAGUGUUGCCUAGUAGUAAUAGCUGGGUGAAAAUAACAUGAAACUAUCAUAAUGUUUGCAUUUUGAGUCAUAUUUGGAAAGAAUUAGCCAAAUCUGCAGUUGCUAGAAUGAAUAUCAUGCCACUACAAUUAAGGAAGGACUGAUUAAUCCUGGCAAAGAACUUGGUUAAAGACUGAGAUCAAACUUGUCUGUGGUCUGCACUGACUUUGCUGUUACUCCAUGGUCCUGAUUUUUGGUUGCUGAAGGUUCACCAUGAGCACUGAUGGCAAAGUGAAGGAGCCAUACGGAAAUGGGUUCUAAUGCAGUUGAAAUGAUUUGCUCCAGAGAUUAGGUCCAAGCUCUUAAUUG